Molecule: ribosomal RNA, 474 nt
Filed under: Triticum aestivum (bread wheat)
Lineage: Eukaryota; Viridiplantae; Streptophyta; Magnoliopsida; Poales; Poaceae
Description: partial small subunit ribosomal RNA
Source: RNAcentral
AUGAAGGAGAGGAGAUGGCCUGGGAACCCCAAAUGCCCUUUUUGUGAUGAUAUUGAAUCGUCUCGACAUUUGUUUUUCACAUGUCCUGUGGCUAGAGUGGUUUGGCGUUGUGUUAGGAUGGCUCUAGGGACUGACUUAUGCCCGAGCAGUUAUUGGCAGUAUUUCUCCUGGUGUCACACUUUCCUUCCUUCUGGGAAGAAGUACUAUACUGUUGGCCCCACUGUCGUUUGCUGGGCUAUCUGGCUUUCUCGGAAUCGAUCCACUUUUGAAAAACAGAUCAAGACACCGUUUGAGAUUGUGUUUUCCAUGUGCUCCUUUUUGUUAUAUUGGGCAGGUCUGCAACAAGGAAAAGGAAUCAAGGAGUUGCGCAGCGGGGCGGCGGUGGUCAGGUCGAGCAUUGUGAGUAUACCUGGCCAUGGGUCGGGCUGGGCUGGGCUUGGGCCGGGCCUUAAAAAGCUCAUGGCAGAAAACUAA